AACGCACAUUGCGCCCUCUGGCAUUCCGGGGGGCAUGCCUGUCCGAGCGUCAUUUCUGCCCCUCAAGCACGGCUUGUGUGUUGGGCCGCCGUCCCUUCCCGCGGGGAGGGACGGGCCCGAAAGGCAGCGGCGGUGCCGCGUUUCCGGUCCCUGAGCGUAUGGGGCUCUGUCACCCGCUCUGGAGGUGCCGGCCGGUGCCCGCCUACCCGUCAGACAUCUUCCAAGGUUGACCUCGGAUCAGGUAGGGAUACCCGCUGAACUUAA
Molecule: unclassified non-coding RNA, 264 nt
Filed under: uncultured Rasamsonia
Lineage: Eukaryota; Fungi; Ascomycota; Eurotiomycetes; Eurotiales; Trichocomaceae
Description: sequence contains ITS2
Source: RNAcentral